Molecule: transfer RNA, 69 nt
Organism: Ovis aries (sheep)
Lineage: Eukaryota; Metazoa; Chordata; Mammalia; Artiodactyla; Bovidae
Rfam family: tRNA
About the family: Transfer RNA (tRNA) molecules are approximately 80 nucleotides in length.
Source: Rfam
CCUGAUAGCUCAGUUGGUAAAGAAUCUGCCUGCAAUGCAGGAGAUCCUGGUUCAAUUCCUGGGUCAGGA